AGAGUUUGAUCCUGGCUCAGAUUGAACGCUGGCGGUAUGCUUAACACAUGCAAGUCGAACGGAAACGAUACUAGCUUGCUAGUAGGCGUCGAGUGGCGGACGGGUGAGUAACGCGUAGGAAUCUGCCUGAUAGUGGGGGAUAGCCCGAAGAAAUUCGGAUUAAUACCGCAUAAUCUAUUCGUAGUAAAGUGGGGGACUUUCGAGCCUCACGCUAUCAGAUGAGCCUGCGUAAGAUUAGCUAGUUGGUAGGGUAAAAGCCUACCAAGGCUACGAUCUUUAGCUGGUCUGAGAGGAUGAUCAGCCACAUCGGGACUGAGACACGGCCCGAACUCCUACGGGAGGCAGCAGUGGGGAAUAUUGGACAAUGGGGGCAACCCUGAUCCAGCAAUACCGCGUGUGUGAAGAAGGCCUGAGGGUUGUAAAGCACUUUCAAUUGUGAAGAAAAGUUAACGGUUAAUAACCGUUAGCCUUGACGUUAACUUUAGAAGAAGCACCGGCUAACUCCGUGCCAGCAGCCGCGGUAAUACGGAGGGUGCAAGCGUUAAUCGGAAUUACUGGGCGUAAAGCGUGCGUAGGCGGUUUAUUAAGUCAGAUGUGAAAGCCCCGGGCUUAACCUGGGAACUGCAUUUGAAACUGGUCAACUAGAGUAUGGUAGAGGAAAGUGGAAUUUCUGGUGUAGCGGUGAAAUGCGUAGAUAUCAGAAGGAACAUCAAUGGCGAAGGCAGCUUUCUGGACCAAUACUGACGCUGAGGUACGAAAGCGUGGGUAGCAAACAGGAUUAGAUACCCUGGUAGUGCACGCCGUAAACGAUGAUAACUAGCCGUUGGGGGGAUUUACCCUUUAGUGGCGAAGCUAACGCGUUAAGUUAUCCGCCUGGGGAGUACGGCCGCAAGGCUAAAACUCAAAGGAAUUGACGGGGACCCGCACAAGCGGUGGAGCAUGUGGUUUAAUUCGAUGCAACGCGAAGAACCUUACCUGGUCUUGACAUCCUGCGAACUUUCUAGAAAUAGAUUGGUGCCUUCGGGAACGCAGUGACAGGUGCUGCAUGGCUGUCGUCAGCUCGUGUCGUGAGAUGUUGGGUUAAGUCCCGUAACGAGCGCAACCCCUAUCCUUAUUUGCCAGCACGUCAUGGUGGGAACUAUAAGGAGACUGCCGGUGAUAAACCGGAGGAAGGCGGGGACGACGUCAAGUCAUCAUGGCCCUUACGACCAGGGCUACACACGUGCUACAAUGGGAAGGACAAAGAGCCGCGAAGCCGCGAGGUGUAGCUAAUCUCAGAAACCUUUUCGUAGUCCGGAUUGGAGUCUGCAACUCGACUCCAUGAAGUCGGAAUCGCUAGUAAUCGUAGAUCAGAAUGCUACGGUGAAUACGUUCCCGGGUCUUGUACACACCGCCCGUCAUACCAUGGGAGUGGGUUGCACCAGAAGUGGCUAGUCUAACUUAGUGAGGACGGUCACCACGGUGUGAUUCAUGACUGGGGUAAAGUCGUAACAAGGUAACC
Molecule: ribosomal RNA, 1501 nt
Filed under: uncultured bacterium
Lineage: Bacteria
Description: bacterial SSU rRNA
Rfam family: Bacterial small subunit ribosomal RNA
Source: RNAcentral